This 254-nucleotide ribosomal RNA is filed under the name uncultured bacterium. RNAcentral describes it as "partial 16S ribosomal RNA". It matches the Rfam family "Bacterial small subunit ribosomal RNA", at positions 524 to 776 of the family's 1533-position model. The record is from RNAcentral.
GACGUAGGGCGCGAGCGUUGUCCGGAUUUAUUGGGCGUAAAGAGCUCGUAGGCGGCUUGUUGCGUCGACUGUGAAAACCUGCGGCUCAACCGUGUGGUCUGCAGUCGAUACGGGCAGGCUGGAGUUCGGUAGGGGAGACUGGAAUUCCUGGUGUAGCGGUGAAAUGCGCAGAUAUCAGGAGGAACACCGGUGGCGAAGGCGGGUCUCUGGGCCGGUAUUGACGCUGAGGCGCGAAAGCUAGGGUAGCAAACGGG